RNAcentral lists this transfer RNA (76 nucleotides) under Algoriphagus limi. RNAcentral's name for it is "tRNA-His". It matches the Rfam family "tRNA". From Rfam's summary of the family: Transfer RNA (tRNA) molecules are approximately 80 nucleotides in length. The record is from RNAcentral. RNAcentral also lists the same sequence under 2 other names. Lineage: Bacteria; Pseudomonadati; Bacteroidota; Cytophagia; Cytophagales; Cyclobacteriaceae.
GGUGAUUGUAGCUCAGCUGGUUAGAGCGCUGGUUUGUGGCACCAGAGGUCGCCGGUUCGAAUCCGGUCUUUCACCC